CCUACGGGAGGCAGCAGUGGGGAAUCUUGCGCAAUGGGCGAAAGCCUGACGCAGCGACGCCGCGUGCGGGAAGAAGGCCUUCGGGUUGUAAACCGCUUUCAGGAGGGACGAAGCCACUCGGGUUAAUAGCCCAGAGGGUGACGGUACCUCCAGAAGAAGCCCCGGCUAACUACGUGCCAGCAGCCGCGGUAAUACGUAGGGGGCAAGCGUUGUCCGGAUUUAUUGGGCGUAAAGAGCGCGUAGGCGGCCAGGUAAGUCCGACGUGAAAUCUGGAGGCUCAACCUCCAGCUGUCGUUGGAAACUACCUGGCUAGAGUCCGGAAGAGGAGAGUGGAAUUCCUGGUGUAGCGGUGAAAUGCGCAGAUAUCAGGAAGAACACCAAUGGCGAAAGCAGCUCUCUGGGACGGUACUGACGCUGAGGCGCGAAAGCGUGGGGAGCG
This 439-nucleotide ribosomal RNA is filed under the name uncultured Gaiella sp. RNAcentral's name for it is "bacterial SSU rRNA". It matches the Rfam family "Bacterial small subunit ribosomal RNA", at positions 338 to 770 of the family's 1533-position model. Lineage: Bacteria; Bacillati; Actinomycetota; Thermoleophilia; Gaiellales; Gaiellaceae. The record is from RNAcentral.